This 1281-nucleotide ribosomal RNA is filed under the name metagenome. Its description in RNAcentral is "SSU rRNA". It matches the Rfam family "Eukaryotic small subunit ribosomal RNA", at positions 344 to 1775 of the family's 1831-position model. The record is from RNAcentral.
UCAUGGCAGUGACGGGUGACGGAGAAUUAGGGUUCGAUUCCGGAGAGGGAGCCUGAGAGACGGCUACCACAUCUAAGGAAGGCAGCAGGCGCGCAAAUUACCCAAUCCUGACUGAGGGAGGUAGUGACAAGAAAUAACAACAGCGGGCUUUGUCUCGCUGAUUGGAAUGAGCACAAGGUAAAAGUCUUAGCUAGGACCGACUGGAGGGCAAGUCUGGUGCCAGCAGCCGCGGUAAUUCCAGCUCCAGUAGCGUAUAUUAAAGUUGUUGCAGUUAAAAAGCUCGUAGUUGGACGUCCACUCCUCGGAGCCGCCUGGCAACUGCGCGUGUCCUUAGCGGGAUGGCGCAGCGCUGCGCCCCUUUACCUUGAGAAAACUAGAGUGUUUAAGGCAGGCCACGCCUGAAUACUAUGCUGGGAAUAAUCUACACCACUGUCUUGGCGAGGCAGCUCUACACCUUUAAUAGGACCAGUUGGGGGCAUUCGUACUCAGCAGUCAGAGGUGAAAUUCCGGGAUUUGCUGAAGACGGACUAGUGCGAAAGCAUUUGCCAAGGAUGUUUUCAUUAAUCAAGAACGAAAGUAAAGGGAUCAAAGACGAUCAGAUACCGUCCUAGUCUUAACCAUAAACGAUGCCGACUAGGGAUUGGGGGGAGCGCUCAGAUCCCCUCAGCACCUUAGAGAAAUCAAAGUGUUUGGGUUCUGGGGGGAGUAUGGUCGCAAGACUGAAACUUAAAGGAAUUGACGGAAGGGCACCACAAGGAGUGGAGCCUGCGGCUUAAUUUGACCCAACACGGGGAAACUUACCAGGUCCAGACAUAGUCAGGAUUGACAGAUUGAGAGCUCUUUCUUGAUCCUAUGGGUGGUGGUGCAUGGCCGUUCUUAGUUGGUGGAGUGAUCUGUCUGGUUAAUUCCGAUAACGAACGAGACCUCAGCCUGCUAACUAGCCCCCGGGCUUCUUAGAGGGACUCCCAGGGCUACCUGGAGGAAGUGCGAGGCAAUAACAGGUCUGUGAUGCCCUUAGAUGUCCUGGGCCGCACGCGCGCUACACUGACGCAGCCACCCAGUCCCACGGCUGCCAAGCCCUGGCAACCUGCAAACUGCGUCGUAGUCGGGAUUGACCCUUGCAAUUCUUGGUCAUCAACCAGGAAUUCCUAGUAAGCGCAAGUCAUCAGCUUGCACUGAUUAAGUCCCUGCCCUUUGUACACACCGCCCGUCGCUCCUACCGAUUCCGAGUGCUCAGGUGAAUUUCUCGGACCCAUCAAGUUAAGUGAACCUUACCACUUA